GAUGAAGAACGUAGCAAAAUGCGAUACUUGGUGUGAAUUGCAGAAUCCCGUGAACCAUCGAGUUUUUGAACGCAAGUUGCGCCCGAAGCCUUUUGGCCGAGGGCACGUCUGCCUGGGCGUCACGCAUCGCGUCGCCCCCCACAACUCUCCGUAAAGGGAACUUGUGUUUUGGGGGCGGAUAUUGGUCUCCCGUGCUCAUGGCGUGGUUGGCCGAAAUAGGAGUCCCUCCGGUGGACGCACGAACUAGUGGUGGUCGUAAAAACCCUCGUCUUUUGUUUCGUGCCGUUAGUCGCGAGGGAAACUCUUUAAAAACCCAAAUGUGUCGUCUCUUGACGGCGCUUCGACCGCGACCCCAGGUCAGGCGGGACUACCCGCUGAAUUUAAGCAUAUCAAUAAGCGGAGGA
This 404-nucleotide unclassified non-coding RNA is filed under the name soil metagenome. RNAcentral describes it as "partial contains 5.8S ribosomal RNA, internal transcribed spacer 2, and large subunit ribosomal RNA". The stretch from base 1 to 122 matches the Rfam family "5.8S ribosomal RNA", at positions 35 to 154 of the family's 154-position model. The record is from RNAcentral.